UAAUUUUAAUUUUUUGAAUUAAUCCAGAAUCAGCUGCGUAACCGGGACCAGUCUUCAAGGCAGGGUUAACCUCCAGGUUCGAUAAUUAUAGCUUUAAUUUAUAUGAAAUUACCAAAAACUUCAAAGAAACAUACUGAAACCCUACCCAGCAAUCUUUUGUCCCUAUAAAAUGAUAUGAUUAGCGAAGCAAGCAGCCGGCCGUGACCUCCAGAGUUCUCAAACCCUCUUCCAUCUACCCCUACAACGAUCACUUCCGGUUUGGUGCUUCAAGCUUGUUGCGGUGAAAUUGCACAACUCUCCUAAUAGAAUAAAUACUGAACAUCCUGCAUUUGUCUACCCUUUUUCUUCUUGAAUCAACUUGUAAUUAGAAGAUCCCAAUCAUCUUCUCCGAAAGAGAGAGAAUAGCGUGAAUGCCUUGUGUGAUUCUGUAUAGGCUAGAGUUAAUGCUGCAGCAGCAGCAGCAGCAGUUAUGUUUAAUCCUUUGGGAUGAACUGGAUGGGUUGUUUAAUGGAACUAAUUCUCAAUUUCCUUGA
This is a long non-coding RNA of Populus nigra (black poplar), 533 nucleotides long. RefSeq lists it as uncharacterized. The transcript has 2 exons. NCBI's taxonomy places the organism in Eukaryota, Viridiplantae, Streptophyta, Magnoliopsida, Malpighiales, Salicaceae. The record is from RefSeq and is a predicted model, not a curated record.